This 193-nucleotide long non-coding RNA is filed under the name Sus scrofa (pig). Its description in RNAcentral is "lncRNA (ENSSSCG00055008553.1)". Lineage: Eukaryota; Metazoa; Chordata; Mammalia; Artiodactyla; Suidae. The record is from RNAcentral.
AGGCAGCCACCCCCGUGGGCACACGCCCAGGAGCUGUUCCUGCCCCGCGCUCCCUCCCUCCACCUUUCACUUCCCAGCCGCAAACAUCUCGGAAGCUUUGAAACUCAGCAAAGAAGGGAAAUCCACUGAGAACAGUCUGUUAAGGAUCUCUGUUGCCGUAUUGAUUUUCUGUCUAGAGGACCUGUCCAUUGAU